GGGGGGGGGCUGGCGCACCCUAGUGCCGAGUGGCCACCUAGCAGCCCCCCUCUGGUACUUCUUUCUUCAAGUAUUUUUUAUUUAUUCUGUAAAAUAUCCCUCUGAAUAUUUUGCCCAUUUGGAUAUGUGCAGAAUAGGUAUUUCUCAUGUAGUUUUUUCAGGUCCAGAAUUCCAUCUGCUUGCGUUCUCCCUCAUGGUGUAAACCUUGCAUAUUAUGAGAUAAAAGGCAUUAGAAUUUCUCCAUAAAGUGGUAUAAUGCAUACAAACACUAUAAAUAAAAGUAGAAAAUCAUGAUGAAAAAUGGACG
This 307-nucleotide long non-coding RNA is filed under the name Hordeum vulgare. Its description in RNAcentral is "long non-coding RNA (HVUL_LNC001084)". Lineage: Eukaryota; Viridiplantae; Streptophyta; Magnoliopsida; Poales; Poaceae. The record is from RNAcentral.